Molecule: ribosomal RNA, 460 nt
Filed under: uncultured bacterium
Lineage: Bacteria
Description: partial 16S ribosomal RNA
Rfam family: Bacterial small subunit ribosomal RNA
Source: RNAcentral
CCUACGGGUGGCAGCAGUGAGGAAUAUUGGUCAAUGGACGCAACUCUGAACCAGCCAAGUAGCGUGCAGGAUGACGGCCCUAUGGGUUGUAAACUGCUUUUAUGCGGGGAUAAACUGAGUCACGUGUGGCUUAUUGCAUGUACCGCAUGAAUAAGGACCGGCUAAUUCCGUGCCAGCAGCCGCGGUAAUACGGAAGGUCCGGGCGUUAUCCGGAUUUAUUGGGUUUAAAGGGAGCGUAGGUCGCCGGUUAAGCGUGUUGUGAAAUGGCGCGGCUCAACCGUGGCAUUGCAACUCAAACUGGCGGGCUUGAGUGCGGCGGAGGUAGGCGGAAUUCGUGGUGUAGCGGUGAAAUGCUUAGAUAUCACGAAGAACUCCGAUUGCGAAGGCAGGUGUCUGAGGUGCAACUGACGCUGAUGCUCGAAAGUGUGGGUAUCAAACAGGAUUAGAUACCCUAGUAGUC